CCCUUCGGGGCGAAGAUAAGACGGAUUAGCGGCGGACGGGUGAGUAACACGUGAGUAACCUGCCUUUUACACAGGGAUAGCCUCGGGAAACCGGGAUUAAAACCUGAUGAAACUAUCAAAUCACAUGAUUAAGAAAGUUAAAACUCCGGUGGUAAAAAGAUGACUCGCGUCCCAUUAGCUAGUUGGUGAAGGUAACGGCCCACCAAGGCAACGAUGGGUAGCCGGCCUGAGAGGGUGAACGGCCACAUUGUAACUGAGAAACGGUCCAAACUCCUACGGGAGGCAGCAGGA
Molecule: ribosomal RNA, 291 nt
Filed under: uncultured Peptoniphilus sp.
Lineage: Bacteria; Bacillati; Bacillota; Tissierellia; Tissierellales; Peptoniphilaceae
Description: partial 16S ribosomal RNA
Rfam family: Bacterial small subunit ribosomal RNA
Source: RNAcentral